Molecule: long non-coding RNA, 776 nt
Organism: Vicia villosa (hairy vetch)
Lineage: Eukaryota; Viridiplantae; Streptophyta; Magnoliopsida; Fabales; Fabaceae
Exons: 5
Source: RefSeq, a predicted model, not a curated record
CUCUCAGAAAACUCUCCGCCUCCCCCUCACAGAAAACCCUAAUAAAAUUCUCUCUCACUUUCUCUCUUACUUUCUAUCUUGUCCUCUUUGCCUCUUCCUUAACCAUAUCGUUAUCUUAUCUUUGUUUCACUUUCAGCUUCCUCUAUCAUCGUUGCAUCAUCAUCUACUCAUCUUCAUCUCAGAUUUGUUCUCAUUGAGUAGUUUUGAUGCUUCUAAAGUUUUUGACCUGGACAGUGAAAUGAACUAUACAAAGGCGAUAUUGAAGUGAUGAGAGCUAACAAGUCCAACACUAUGUUCAUCGAUUUCGAGUUUGCUAUCAGAUUCAACGAUCUUCUUCAGAAAGCUAUCUCUGAUGAAUAUUUGAGGUUUAACCUUAUUUGCAGAAUGCCUGCAAGAGGUUUGAUAACCCUAACAAGGACAAGUACAACAGUAUAUAGCCUUCUAUAACAUUCCAGAUUGUUCAUGUUCAGCAGUUUUUGGCUACUGAAGAGGCACUAAACAGUGCUGCAGCAGUAAGAAACUUGUGUGAAAAACCAGUUGUAUACUUGUGGGCAAAAACAGCUGCAUGGAGGCACUGAUGUUACUUCAUGUUAAUACACAUUUUAUGAUCUUGUGAGAGGUAUUGCUGGCAUGAAUGAGUUGUGGAGAAAAUAUGGCCAGAACACAUUUAUCUCACAAUAUGACUAAUUCAAUGUUGCAUGUUGCUAUAUUUUAUAAUGAUAUUAUAAAAUUUGUAACAAUAUGGCUUCUAGAAGGACCCUGUUGGAUGAUUCAAA